RNA transcript from Cynara cardunculus var. scolymus (artichoke), 662 nucleotides. RefSeq lists it as uncharacterized. The record is from RefSeq and is a predicted model, not a curated record. Lineage: Eukaryota; Viridiplantae; Streptophyta; Magnoliopsida; Asterales; Asteraceae. The transcript has 2 exons.
GGGGGAGAAAUGCUCGGAAAAAAUGGAUGAGGCUCCAGCGAGAGAGACGGGAGGUUUCUCAAGGGUUGUUGCCCCUCUUUUGCCACUACAUGAUCACAAAUUGGGUCAUGUUGAGCCGAUGAUUUCGUCCCCCCAGUUCUUCACCAUCAAUCAACAACAGCCCUUGAAGAACAGGCAGAAAGAUGAAACCAAAAGGAUAAUCGGAGGUUGUUACCAGAAAACGAUCGAGGCUGUGAUGAUACUCUUCUGCAUUUAACAUUUUCCGAGCAUGUUGUUCUGGGCAGUGGGUGAAACUCGGACCGUAUCUUGGCGGGGCAACCCGAAUGGUGUUGCAGCCAUGGCGGUGUUUGAUCCCCUUUGUCUUAUUCCAGAUCUGCAGAUCUGAGCCUCUCAUCCGAAAUUACAAUUUCUGCGUUCAUCCAAAGAAGUUGUUAGAAAGGGAAAAUUUUGGAUUUGUAAUGGAAUCAACUUCCACUCAGAGAACAUGAGGCAGUUACAUAAGGGGGAUGAAGAUGAUGGUUUAAUGGUGGUUAUCCACCUAUGUUCAUACCAAAGUCUGAUUUUGACUUUAUUUGGUCAAACAUCCUUCUUUGUAGCCGAUGAUUUUCUCCAAAAAAACACACAGAUCGACAGUUUCUUCGUUGUUGCUGUUGAUGUUACUA